Molecule: transfer RNA, 69 nt
Filed under: Questa ersei
Lineage: Eukaryota; Metazoa; Annelida; Polychaeta; Questidae
Description: tRNA-Gly
Source: RNAcentral
ACCCCCUUAGUAUAUACUAGUACAUUUACCUUCCAAGUAAAAAGAUUACGGGACCUCCAAUAUGUCUUU